Molecule: ribosomal RNA, 440 nt
Filed under: uncultured bacterium
Lineage: Bacteria
Description: partial 16S ribosomal RNA
Rfam family: Bacterial small subunit ribosomal RNA
Source: RNAcentral
CCUACGGGAGGCUGCAGUGGGGAAUAUUGCACAAUGGGGGAAACCCUGAUGCAGCGACGCCGCGUGAGUGAAGACGUCAUUCUUUAUGUAAAGCUCUAUCAGCAGGGAAGAAAAUGACGGUACCUGAGUAAGAAGCCCCGGCUAACUACGUGCCAGCAGCCGCGGUAAUACGUCGGGGGCACGCGUUAUUCGGAUUUACUGGGUGUAAAGGGAGCGUAGACGGGAGUGCAAGUCUGGAGUGAAAGGCGUGGGGUCAACCCCCGGACUGCCCUGGAAACUGUACGGCUGGAGUGCAGGAGAGGUAAGUGGAAUUCCUAGUGUAGCGGUGAAAUGCGUAGAUAUUAGGAGGAACACCAGUGGCGAAGGCGGCAUACUGGACUGUAACUGACGUUGAGGCUCGAAAGCGUGGGGAGCAAACAGGAUUAGAUACCCGUGUAGUC